UGGGGAAUUUUGGACAAUGGGCGAAAGCCUGAUCCAGCAAUGCCGCGUGUGUGAAGAAGGCCUUCGGGUUGUAAAGCACUUUUGUCCGGAAAGAAAUCCUCUGGGUUAAUACCUCGGGGGGAUGACGGUACCGGAAGAAUAAGCACCGGCUAACUACGUGCCAGCAGCCGCGGUAAUACGUAGGGUGCAAGCGUUAAUCGGAAUUACUGGGCGUAAAGCGUGCGCAGGCGGUUCGGAAAGAAAGAUGUGAAAUCCCAGAGCUUAACUUUGGAACUGCAUUUUUAACUACCGGGCUAGAGUGUGUCAGAGGGAGGUGGAAUUCCGCGUGUAGCAGUGAAAUGCGUAGAUAUGCGGAGGAACACCGAUGGCGAAGGCAGCCUCCUGGGAUAACACUGACGCUCAUGCACGAAAGCGUGGGGAGCAAACAGGAUUAGAUACCCUGGUAGUCCACGCCCUAAACGAUGUCAACUAGCUGUUGGGGUCUUCGGACCUUGGUAGCGCAGCUAACGCGUGAAGUUGACCGCCUGGGGAGUACGGUCGCAAGAUUAAACUUAAAGGAAUU
Molecule: ribosomal RNA, 562 nt
Filed under: uncultured bacterium
Lineage: Bacteria
Description: partial 16S ribosomal RNA
Rfam family: Bacterial small subunit ribosomal RNA
Source: RNAcentral